UACGUAGGGUCCGAGCGUUGUCCGGAAUUAUUGGGCGUAAAGGGCUCGUAGGCGGUUUGUUGCGUCGGGAGUGAAAACUUACAGCUUAACUGUGAGCGUGCUUCCGAUACGGGCAGACUGGAGGUAUGCAGGGGAGAACGGAAUUCCUGGUGUAGCGGUGAAAUGCGCAGAUAUCAGGAGGAACACCGGUGGCGAAGGCGGUUCUCUGGGCAUGUCCUGACGCUGAGGAGCGAAAGUGUGGGGAGCGAACAGG
This 253-nucleotide ribosomal RNA is filed under the name uncultured bacterium. Its description in RNAcentral is "partial 16S ribosomal RNA". It matches the Rfam family "Bacterial small subunit ribosomal RNA", at positions 524 to 776 of the family's 1533-position model. The record is from RNAcentral.